This 543-nucleotide long non-coding RNA is filed under the name Androctonus crassicauda. Lineage: Eukaryota; Metazoa; Arthropoda; Arachnida; Scorpiones; Buthidae. The record is from RNAcentral.
AAUUAUAUAAAAUGUUUUUACAUCUCAAAAUGAAAAUUAUCUGCAAAAUAAUUUAUAUUUCAUAUAUGUAUUCUAACAUAAAGAUGGACUGGAUCUGGAAUCAUCCUGAAAAAUUAGAUGUGAGACUUGGAAUCGAACCUGAUCCAAGUUUGAUUCCAAGUACAAAUAUUCGAUCUUUAAUUCUCGAUUCCAAGUACAAAUAUUUAACAAGGAAAAAUGACAAACAAUCCUGAAGAAAGUAUUGUGUUCAGAGAAAUACCAAUUGUAUGUAAAUCAAACCAAUCCCAGAUGUAUGGCAGGGCCAACUAUAUUCCUGAAGAUUUUGUAAAAACUGACUGGGCUUGUCAUUGCCAAUGAUUAUCCAAAACCUGGACAGUCAUAGAUGAAAGUUAGGAUUUCAUUAUUUUAAAGUUAUUUUUACACAUGUUGUAUUUUUUAAUUAAUUAAUACUGUAAAGUAAAUACAGUAUGGUUUUUUUUAUACUCCUUGAUUAAUUGUUAUUUUUGUUUCUGUUCUUUUUAAUUCUGUUAUUGAUCAAUGCAG